This 801-nucleotide ribosomal RNA is filed under the name uncultured bacterium. Its description in RNAcentral is "bacterial SSU rRNA". It matches the Rfam family "Bacterial small subunit ribosomal RNA", at positions 525 to 1338 of the family's 1533-position model. The record is from RNAcentral.
ACAUAGGAGGCAAGCGUUAUCCGGAUUUACUGGGCGUAAAGAGCGUUGAGGCGGUUCUGUAAGUUGGACGUGAAAGCCCCCGGCUCAACUGGGGGGGGUCGCUCAAUACUGCAGAACUUGAGGGCAGCAGAGGGGGGUGGAAUUUCCGGUGUAGUGGUGAAAUGCGUAGAUAUCGGAAGGAACACCAGUGGCGAAGGCGGCCCCCUGGGCUGCUCCUGACGCUGAAGGCGAAAGCUAGGGGAGCAAACGGGAUUAGAAACCCCGGUAGUCCUAGCCGUAAACGAUGGAUACUAGGUGUAGAGGGCCAAUAAAUCCCCCUGUGCCGAAGCUAACGCGUUAAGUAUCCCGCCUGGGGACUACGGUCGCAAGACUAAAACUCAAAGGAAUUGACGGGGACCCGCACAAGCAGCGGAGCGUGUGGUUUAAUUCGAUGCAACGCGAAGAACCUUACCAGGGCUUGACAUGCAUGUAGUAGUGAAGCGAAAGCGGAACGAUCCUUCGGGAAGCUUGCACAGGUGCUGCAUGGCUGUCGUCAGCUCGUGCCGUGAGGUGUUAGGUUAAGUCCUGUAACGAGCGCAACCCUCGCCGCUAGUUAUACGUGUCUAGCGGGACUGCCCGGCUCAACUGGGAGGAAGGUGGGGAUGACGUCAAGUCAGCAUGGCCUUUAUGUCCUGGGCGACACACACGCUACAAUGGCCGGUACAAUGGGUAGCCAAGCCGCGAGGCGGAGCCAAUCCUGCAAAGCCGGUCUCAGUUCGGAUUGUAGGCUGCAACUCGCCUGCAUGAAGUUGGAGUUGCUAG